GACGAACGCUGGCGGCGUGCUUAACACAUGCAAGUCGAACGGAAAGGCCCUGCUUUUGUGGGGUGCUCGAGUGGCGAACGGGUGAGUAACACGUGAGUAACCUGCCCUUGACUUUGGGAUAACUUCAGGAAACUGGGGCUAAUACCGGAUAGGAGCUCCUGCUGCAUGGUGGGGGUUGGAAAGUUUCGGCGGUUGGGGAUGGACUCGCGGCUUAUCAGCUUGUUGGUGGGGUAGUGGCUUACCAAGGCUUUGACGGGUAGCCGGCCUGAGAGGGUGAACGGCCACAUGGGGACUGAGAUACGGCCCAGACUCCUACGGGAGGCAGCAGUGGGGAAUAUUGCACAAUGGGCGGAAGCCUGAGGCAGCAACGCCGCGUGCGGGAUGACGGCCUUCGGGUUGUAAACCGCUUUCGCCUGUGACGAAGCGGGAGUGACGGUAAUGGGUAAAGAAGCACCGGCUAACUACGUG
RNAcentral lists this ribosomal RNA (468 nucleotides) under uncultured bacterium. Its description in RNAcentral is "partial 16S ribosomal RNA". It matches the Rfam family "Bacterial small subunit ribosomal RNA", at positions 28 to 507 of the family's 1533-position model. The record is from RNAcentral.